Molecule: unclassified non-coding RNA, 206 nt
Filed under: Hevea brasiliensis (rubber tree)
Lineage: Eukaryota; Viridiplantae; Streptophyta; Magnoliopsida; Malpighiales; Euphorbiaceae
Source: RNAcentral
CAAUCCGUGUUUAUUAUAGUAUGCAUUUUAGUUUGGAUUUUGAAGUUUCAGUUUGAUUUCGCUACAAGGCACUGGUUAAGGCUUUUCUGAGUUAUUAUUAUUAUUGUUAUUAUUAUUUUAUUAUCAUUUGGUAGUAUGAGAGAGUUAUUGUGUGGGAUCUAAUUAUAUUAUGCAACAAAAAUGCAUACUAUAAUAAACACGGAUUG